UUGGAUUGAAGGGAGCUCUA
RNAcentral lists this non-coding RNA (20 nucleotides) under Arabidopsis thaliana (thale cress). The record is from RNAcentral. Lineage: Eukaryota; Viridiplantae; Streptophyta; Magnoliopsida; Brassicales; Brassicaceae. RNAcentral also lists the same sequence under 1 other name.